CGUGUAGGCGGUUCGGUAAGUUGGAUGUGAAAUCUCCCGGCUCAACUGGGAGAGGUCGUUCAAUACUGUCGGACUUGAGGACGGUAGAGGGAGGUGGAAUUCCCGGUGUAGUGGUGAAAUGCGUAGAUAUCGGGAGGAACACCAGUGGCGAAGGCGGCCUCCUGGACCGUACCUGACGCUCAGACGCGAAAGCUAGGGGAGCGAACG
RNAcentral lists this ribosomal RNA (207 nucleotides) under uncultured bacterium. RNAcentral's name for it is "partial 16S ribosomal RNA". It matches the Rfam family "Bacterial small subunit ribosomal RNA", at positions 568 to 774 of the family's 1533-position model. The record is from RNAcentral.